RNAcentral lists this ribosomal RNA (350 nucleotides) under Streptomycetaceae bacterium ACTS160. RNAcentral describes it as "bacterial SSU rRNA". It matches the Rfam family "Bacterial small subunit ribosomal RNA", at positions 9 to 360 of the family's 1533-position model. The record is from RNAcentral. Lineage: Bacteria; Bacillati; Actinomycetota; Actinomycetes; Kitasatosporales; Streptomycetaceae.
GAGUUUGAUCCUGGCUCAGGACGAACGCUGGCGGCGUGCUUAACACAUGCAAGUCGAACGAUGAACCACCUUCGGGUGGGGAUUAGUGGCGAACGGGUGAGUAACACGUGGGCAAUCUGCCCUGCACUCUGGGACAAGCCCUGGAAACGGGGUCUAAUACCGGAUACUGAACCGCUUGGGCAUCCAGGCGGUUCGAAAGCUCCGGCGGUGCAGGAUGAGCCCGCGGCCUAUCAGCUUGUUGGUGAGGUAACGGCUCACCAAGGCGACGACGGGUAGCCGGCCUGAGAGGGCGACCGGCCACACUGGGACUGAGACACGGCCCAGACUCCUACGGGAGGCAGCAGUGGGGA